Prosopis cineraria is the source of this 3068-nucleotide long non-coding RNA. RefSeq lists it as uncharacterized. NCBI's taxonomy places the organism in Eukaryota, Viridiplantae, Streptophyta, Magnoliopsida, Fabales, Fabaceae. The transcript has 5 exons. The record is from RefSeq and is a predicted model, not a curated record.
AAGAAUUUAUGCCAAAUCAAGCUCGGUAUUAUGUUUUAUAGACAUCAAAGAUUUCAAUUUUCAAUGGUCCCGUUUUCCCUUUUCGCGGUAAAUGAUUUCGCAAUAAAUGAAGUUUCGAACCCAGUUAACUGAUAAACGAUUUCGAUUCUCAACGGUCCAUUUUUUUCAUCUACAAGGCAUGCGGCAAUUUUAAGUUUUAAACCUAGUUAACUGGAAUUGAAAUUGAACCGACUCAUUUACUGGAUGAUAUUAUCGGCUCUAGUUUUCCCUUCCUAAGCCUGAGUAUGCUACAUCAUCACAGCGGCUGCUGCUCCGCCUCCGCUGGCGAAGACGAAAGCCGGAAGUGAGGCUUCGGUCUUGACCAUGCUUUAGGGUUCAAACAAUUCGAUUCGAAUGGCGUUGGAAGUAGCUCAAUUCAAAUUACUGAUUGAAUCGUGCAAUUUUGUUCACAUGUCCCUAUCUUAUUUAACUUGCGACUUAACACCAGAUCCUUAUUACAAGGAAUGAAGAUUUUUUGAACGAGAUUCACACACACAUGUAUAUUGGAUAUAUUCACAACAAGAGAUGAAAAAGUGAUUGCAAGCUGAUGGCCCUCACUUUUUUGGUAUGAAACUCAAAAAGCAAAGGAGAGAAGCCUACUCUAAAUUUAGUGGGGGCUAAUAAGACAUGAUGAUCACGACGAUGCUAUUGCCAAGAAUCCCAAAUCCUUGCAUGGUUGAAUUUUGACCAGAUGCUGGCGGUUCCAUUUGAGAGCAUGAGGUUACUGUCAUCGUGGUUGAGGGUUUCGGAGUCUAUGGGCAAGCCAUUAUUGAUGGACCAAAUGAGUCGGAGUACACGAUGAUAGCAGUGAAGGUAGGAGAAGAAAUUUGGCACUGUAGCCUAGUCAUCUGCAUUCCAUGAAUUUGAGUAUAUCCUCAUUGGCUGGUUCUUUAGGAAUGGCACACCAAUGGACAUGCACUCCUCAAUGCUUAGCUUCCUGUUCCUUCAUGCCUUCUAUAUUAAUAAGCUUGUGCAAAGGUGAGCCAUAUGGAUAGGGAGAGAUAUAGAGAGAGAAGGGAGAGAGAUGCAUUCGUGUGUGUGGGAGAGAAAGAGAAGUGAGAAACCAUGCAGCUCAUCGAGGCUCAUCGACACAGUGAUCAGAGGUGGAGCUUGGAGAGAGAGAAGGAGAGAUGUUAGGGAGGAGAGAGUUAGUUGGUGAGGUGUAAAAAAAAAUAAUAAAAAAAAAUAUAAAGUGGAUCUCAUCAUUAUAUUUUAUUAUUAAAAACGGAAAGAUCAACAAAUUGCGGGACAUAAUUGACUUAGAAUUGAGUUUAGGGUUUCCAGUAAUAUUUCAAGUAAAGUUAAGAAAUAAAAAUGAUCCUUAACUUUUAUUUUUAUAACAUAUAGGUUCAUAUUGGAAGGUGACCUUAUUUUUAUCAAGACAAGAAUGGUGUGACUUGCUUAACAAUGCAUCUCUUUUGACCCACAAUUAGUUUUUAGGUUUUGUUUGCUGUAAGUUUUUCAUGUUUUUCUUUGCUCCUUACUCCCACAAAUAAUUAAGAGUGUUAUAAUAAUGUGCUUUUGGUUUUAGUUGUAAUCAUUGAAUCUUGUGGAGAUCGAAUUUUCAUUGGUUCUUUUUGACAGUUUGGUGCAUCUUAAUUCUCAUUCUAAUUCACCAUGUUGUCUCUGACAUUUUCGUAGUUAUAUACUUUGCUUGGCAUCAUUCUUUAUCCUCUAUAUAUCACUACAAAGUUUUGUUUUGUCCUUUAGGGGACAAAUUUUCUAUAAAAACUUUAUGUCAAGACAGUAUAAUUGAUGAUUGACUUUAGAAGUGAACGAAAUAAGUAGAUAUGAUUAUUCUUUAACUUCUGUAUCAACCUUUUUUUGGUUGUACUUGUAGAGUCUUCUCGGUACAGUACAACUGUACAAGUAUAAAUGCAUAUUGCACCUUGUUGUGGUAGAAAAUACUCUAUAUGUUAACAUCCCCUCUCUGCUUUUUCCUUUUGGAGAUCUUACAUGAGACUUGACAUCAUAUACCGAAAUCCAAAUUUUGUUAUUAAUCCAUUGGAAUUCCUGCUAAAUGUUCUUUCCUAAUCCAUACUAAACCUUUCAAUACUGGUAUUCUUUUUUCUUUUAUUAGUCUAUAUAUGAUUGUUAGGGUGGAGGGUUCUUCAUGCUGGGUUCUUUUAUCUUUUAUUAGUUUAUUUGCUAUUUUUAUUUUCUUUAUCAUUGAUUAGUUUAGGGACAUAAUACGUGUUAAUCAAGCUGUGAGAGUAGUUAGAAUUUUUAUGUUUAUUUUCUUUAUCAUAGAAUUGUAAGAGUAGUUAGAAUUUUACCGUAGUAUAGUGUAUUUUAAAUCUAGAUUUUGACCAUUCAAAGAACAUGGCGAUGUUAAUCAAGCUGGGAACAAAUCUCAAAGGGUAUCCAUCCAAAGAAAGCAAUUGAAGUGGAACCUUGGUAUUGUCUAAUUUUCUAGUUUUCCUAAACUUAAUGUAAAAUUUUUUAAUACUAUGCAAUUUCCUAUGCAUGCACGAGUUCGUCCAUCAUGAACUUUUUUUUUUUUCCUUUUCGUAAAAUGCCAUGUGUCAAUUUUCCCAUUCUAUGUCUCUUUGGUGCAUAGUGCAUUCACGUAUUAGACAUUUUUUAUGUUUGACAGGGAUUCGUGGUACUGGCUUGGGAGGGUAAAAUUUUAACCAAUAAUGGUAUGAUUGGGGGUAUCAAUUGAAAAAUGCUUUGGUGGUGAGAUUCAAUCCUUCUUCAUGACAAGCAUUACAGCUAGCCACCUCCUUCUUCAUGACAAUCAUGACAAGCUUCAUGAUGGACGGAAUCCAAAUCCUUGCUGUAAAUGGUUGACGGAAUCCUUGCUGACUUAGCCACCUCCUAACAACAUCAAAGGAGCUUUUGCAAAUGCAGUGAAUGUUUAUUUUAAAUUUUAUCAUUUUAUCUUCCCAACUCCAUUAAAGGAAAUUCAAAAACAAUACCUCACUCUUUUAUUCUUGGUUUCUUGUGUCGUUGUCACUUUCCUUGAGACUUAAUUCUUGUUUUCUUUAUUUCAUCCAAAUCAGUACAAAAAUUGUCACUUUCCUUUA